AGGUAUAAAUAGGAGUUUCCGGGUGAGAGGUGAGUCGGGAAGAAGUAGAGAGGAGGCAUUGCUGGAACUUGGCAGCAGAGGAGUUAUCCGUCUACAAGGAGACCUGUAUAGAUCAAAUGAAGGCAAGAAUGAGGAUGGCGGAAGACCGGAGUCACAUGACUGAGAAGAUACUAAACCUCACCCUGGAGAUCAUCUACCUGCUGACUGGAGAGAGAUUUCCUCUU
This is a long non-coding RNA of Rana temporaria (common frog), 224 nucleotides long. RefSeq lists it as uncharacterized. The record is from RefSeq and is a predicted model, not a curated record. Lineage: Eukaryota; Metazoa; Chordata; Amphibia; Anura; Ranidae. The transcript is spliced from 3 exons.